AAUUCACCCUUUGUCAGCCCUCUGAUUGGUUCCUGGCUCGACCAAUCAGAAAAAUCCUUCGCCGUUGCCCAACUUCCGGUUGGACAUUUGGCCUCGGCUCUAUCACAACAUCACAACAACUGAACAAGAGUAGAUUUAAAAUGGUUAAACGGUGUGCAUGGGGGACUUGUAAAAGUGACUCUCGCUAUCCUGAGAGAAGCCCAGGAGUAUAUUUUAUCCCAUUCCCGAAACCGAAAGUACAUUACGAAAAAUGUUUACUUUGGAUACGUUUAUGCGGACGUCCGCACUGGCAGCUAAAUCCGUCCAAAAUAACGAAAUACACGUACAUCUGCUCUGAGGUAAGUUGGCACAUUAUUCUUUACAGUAGUAAUGUCACAAUUUAAGAGCUAAUGUUAGUGGUUGUACUUAGGUUUUAUAGGCAUUUAUUUCCUUCUGCUAGCCAAAAUUGGCAUUAUAGCUGUCGUAGCCACUAGCUGUCAUAGCAUGAUUGUGUUCGCAUGCCAAGAUGAUGCCAUUCUGUAACAUCUGUUUAUAUUUUUUAUGAAAGCACUUUGUUGAUGGGGCACCAAGUGAUCGAUACCCAAACCCCGUGGAUGCAACAGGAAAGUCUGUUAAGCCUUGCAGACUUAACCCCAAAAGACAAAGGCUGCAUCAGCAGAGUGAGAGCGGCAGUUUGGCAAGCCCAGGUCAUACCAUGGCUGAAGAUACAGCACAGACCAGUAACGUGGCAGAAGAAGACGCACAGCAAAGCAGCAUAGCAGAAGAGAAAGAAGAGAUUGGCAGCGGCGCAGAAGAGACAGAAGAGACGAAAGAGAUUGGCAGCAGGGCAGAAGAGAGAACAAACCCAGGAGAGACCUGUUACACUGCAGAAGACACAGCACAGCCCAACACAGUCGGACACAUGUCAGAAAACGCUCAGUAUCUGUCAUUUUUAUAUGUUUCCUGUGGAUGUAGGAUAUGAAAAAAGAAAAGUCAGUUCAGAAACAUUUUUAUGCAAUACAUUUGUAUUUACAUUUGUAUACUUGUUUAAUGCAAUUAAAGUAAUUGAUUCAUUUUA
Acanthochromis polyacanthus (spiny chromis) is the source of this 1057-nucleotide long non-coding RNA. RefSeq lists it as uncharacterized. The transcript is spliced from 2 exons. NCBI's taxonomy places the organism in Eukaryota, Metazoa, Chordata, Actinopteri, Pomacentridae. The record is from RefSeq and is a predicted model, not a curated record.